RNAcentral lists this transfer RNA (72 nucleotides) under Heterosigma akashiwo. RNAcentral's name for it is "tRNA-MET". It matches the Rfam family "tRNA". Rfam says of the family: Transfer RNA (tRNA) molecules are approximately 80 nucleotides in length. Their secondary structure includes four short double-helical elements and three loops (D, anti-codon, and T loops). Lineage: Eukaryota; Raphidophyceae; Chattonellales; Chattonellaceae. The record is from RNAcentral.
CGCGGGAUAGAGCAAUGGCAGCUCGUCAGGUUCAUGCCCUGAAGGUUAUAGGUUCAAGUCCUGUUCCCGCAA